UACAGAGGGUGCGAGCGUCGUCCGGAAUCACUGGGCGUAAAGGGUGCGUAGGUGGGCAGGUAAGUCAGUGGUGAAAUCUCUGGGCUUAACCCAGAAACUGCCGUUGAUACUAUCUGUCUUGAAUGUAGUGGAGGUGAGCGGAAUAUGUCAUGUAGCGGUGAAAUGCUUAGAUAUGACAUAGAACACCGAUUGCGAAGGCAGCUCGCUACACUACUAUUGACACUGAGGCACAAAAGCGUGGGGAUCAAACAGG
RNAcentral lists this ribosomal RNA (253 nucleotides) under uncultured bacterium. RNAcentral's name for it is "partial 16S ribosomal RNA". It matches the Rfam family "Bacterial small subunit ribosomal RNA", at positions 524 to 776 of the family's 1533-position model. The record is from RNAcentral.